This 721-nucleotide ribosomal RNA is filed under the name Corallococcus exiguus. Its description in RNAcentral is "bacterial SSU rRNA". It matches the Rfam family "Bacterial small subunit ribosomal RNA", at positions 142 to 842 of the family's 1533-position model. Lineage: Bacteria; Pseudomonadati; Myxococcota; Myxococcia; Myxococcales; Myxococcaceae. The record is from RNAcentral.
GAUAACCAGUCGAAAGAUUGGCUAAUACCGGAUAAGCCCACGGUCUCUUCGGAGNCUGAGGGAAAAGGUGGCCUCUGUAUACAAGCUAUCACAACCAGAUGAGUCCGCGGCCCAUCAGCUAGUUGGCGGGGUAAUGGCCCACCAAGGCGACGACGGGUAGCUGGUCUGAGAGGACGAUCAGCCACACUGGAACUGAGACACGGUCCAGACUCCUACGGGAGGCAGCAGUGGGGAAUUUUGCGCAAUGGGCGAAAGCCUGACGCAGCAACGCCGCGUGUGUGAUGAAGGUCUUUGGAUUGUAAAGCACUUUCGACCGGGACGAAACCGUAAAGCCUAAUACGCUUUGCCUUGACGGUACCGGGAGAAGAAGCACCGGCUAACUCUGUGCCAGCAGCCGCGGUAAUACAGAGGGUGCAAGCGUUGUUCGGAAUUAUUGGGCGUAAAGCGCGUGUAGGCGGCUUUGCAAGUCGGGUGUGAAAGCCCUCAGCUCAACUGAGGAAGUGCGCCCGAAACUGCAGAGCUUGAGUGCCGGAGAGGGUGGCGGAAUUCCCCAAGUAGAGGUGAAAUUCGUAGAUAUGGGGAGGAACACCGGUGGCGAAGGCGGCCACCUGGACGGUAACUGACGCUGAGACGCGAAAGCGUGGGUAGCAAACAGGAUUAGAUACCCUGGUAGUCCACGCCGUAAACGAUGAGAACUAGGUGUCGNGGGANUUGACCCCCG